This 354-nucleotide transfer-messenger RNA is filed under the name Rickettsiales bacterium. It matches the Rfam family "Alphaproteobacteria transfer-messenger RNA". Rfam says of the family: Bacterial tmRNA, also known as 10Sa RNA or SsrA, is named for its dual tRNA and mRNA-like properties. Its role is to liberate the mRNA from a stalled ribosome. Lineage: Bacteria; Pseudomonadati; Pseudomonadota; Alphaproteobacteria; Rickettsiales. The record is from RNAcentral.
UUUGUUGCAAGAUAACAAAGUUGUGCUAUAAUUUUUUCGUCGAAAGACUAUGAUAAUAAAUAUCGUGCGUAAUAGAUGCGAUGGACUCGGGGGCAGUACCCGACACCUCCACCACAGGAAGCUAGGGGGGUGAAAUAGCAUUGACAUUCAUCGAAAGGUACCGGUUUUAUCCAGCAAGAUACAGCUGUCGCGAAAGCGAAGAUAGUUCGAAAAAUUAAAUGCAAAAGAUAAUUUUGCUAAUGUUGCACUGGCUGCGUAGAUCUUAGGAUAGGUAUUUCGUAGAAAUACCUCCACCUAGCGGUGGCUAGCCGGGCAACGGGGCUGGAGGGAGCCUGUCAACAGAAUCCCUCCAAA